This 46-nucleotide non-coding RNA is filed under the name Trichobilharzia regenti. The record is from RNAcentral. Lineage: Eukaryota; Metazoa; Platyhelminthes; Trematoda; Strigeidida; Schistosomatidae.
AUACUGCCGAAGAGUCCCAAACAAGGACGAAACAGCUGUCCAGUAC